This 259-nucleotide ribosomal RNA is filed under the name uncultured soil bacterium. RNAcentral's name for it is "partial 16S ribosomal RNA". It matches the Rfam family "Bacterial small subunit ribosomal RNA", at positions 26 to 288 of the family's 1533-position model. The record is from RNAcentral.
AGAUUGAACGCUGGCGGCAUGCCUUACACAUGCAAGUCGAACGGCAGCACGGGGGCAACCCUGGUGGCGAGUGGCGAACGGGUGAGUAACAUAUCGGAACGUGCCCUGGAGUGGGGGAUAACUAGUCGAAAGAUUAGCUAAUACCGCAUACGAUCUACGGAUGAAAGUGGGGGAUCGCAAGACCUCAUGCUCGUGGAGCGGCCGAUAUCUGAUUAGCUAGUUGGUGGGGUAAAGGCCUACAAGGCAUCGAUCAGUAGCU